UUGGAGGGCAAGUCUGGUGCCAGCAGCCGCGGUAAUUCCAGCUCCAAUAGCGUAUAUUAAAGUUGCUGCAGUUAAAAAGCUCGUAGUUGAAUUUCGGGACCAAUAUGUCGGUCGUGCCUCGGUACGUACUGGCAUCGUUGGUUUCUCCCUUCUGAAGAACCAUGAUGUCAUUUAUUUGGUGUCGUGGGGAAUCAGGACUGUUACUUUGAAAAAAUUAGAGUGUUUAAAGCAGGCUCACGCUUGAAUACAUUAGCAUGGAAUAAUGAAAUAGGACGUUUGAUUCUAUUUUGUUGGUUUCUAGGAUCGACGUAAUGAUUAAUAGGGAUAGUUGGGGGCAUUAGUAUUCAAUUGUCAGAGGUGAAAUUCUUGGAUUUAUUGAAGACUAACUACUGCGAAAGCAUUUGCCAAGGAUGUUUUCAUUAAUCAAGAACGAAAGUUAGGGGAUCGAAGACGAUCAGAUACCGUCGUAGUCUUAACCAUAAACUAUGCCGACUAGGGAUCGGAUGAUGUUAAUUUUUUAAUGACUCAUUCGGCGCCUUACGGGAAAC
Molecule: ribosomal RNA, 548 nt
Filed under: uncultured Glomus
Lineage: Eukaryota; Fungi; Glomeromycota; Glomeromycetes; Glomerales; Glomeraceae
Description: SSU rRNA
Rfam family: Eukaryotic small subunit ribosomal RNA
Source: RNAcentral